UACAGAGGGGGCAAGCGUUGUUCGGAAUUACCGGGCGUAAAGGGUGCGUAGGCGGGUCUUUAAGUCAGGGGUGAAAUCCUGGAGCUCAACUCCAGAACUGCCUUUGAUACUGAAGAUCUUGAGUUCGGGAGAGGUGAGUGGAACUGCGAGUGUAGAGGUGAAAUUCGUAGAUAUUCGCAAGAACACCAGUGGCGAAGGCGGCUCACUGGCCCGAUACUGACGCUGAGGCACGAAAGCGUGGGGAGCAAACAGG
RNAcentral lists this ribosomal RNA (253 nucleotides) under uncultured bacterium. RNAcentral's name for it is "partial 16S ribosomal RNA". It matches the Rfam family "Bacterial small subunit ribosomal RNA", at positions 524 to 776 of the family's 1533-position model. The record is from RNAcentral.